RNAcentral lists this long non-coding RNA (739 nucleotides) under Monodelphis domestica (gray short-tailed opossum). Its description in RNAcentral is "lncRNA (ENSMODG00000033718.2)". The record is from RNAcentral. Lineage: Eukaryota; Metazoa; Chordata; Mammalia; Didelphimorphia; Didelphidae.
AAAGUAAAUCCAGUCUGCUCCCCCCCUAGAUAUGCCACCUUUCCAAAACAGUGCUGUCAUUUCAGCCUGAGAGAAACCAAGAAAAUCUCCCUGGCCGGAUUGUGCAGCAGUAUCAAGUCCAAGUCAAGUUUCAGCUCAUCUGAGUGUGCUGCCAUGGACUGACUUCACUUCCUUGCUCUUGAGUCAUUCAAGUUCAAUGGCAGGUCAAAAGUCAGGAUGACUGGCAAUGAACUGAGAUGCAGUGGAUGGCAAUGGUGUCUUCAAUGUUUUUCCAGCUUAAGUCAAGGGGCAAGACAAAAAAGUCAGGAUGACUGGUGGUGACCUGGGGUGCAGUGGAAGAAUUUUGUGUCUUUGAUAUAUGACCAAGCUCUAAGCACUCCACAAUGCCUGCUUCAGCUGUCUUCAUGGCCAUUGAAACAAAUUGUUCUCAUUCACCCAUUCUGCUGGAAAAAGUCUUCGCAUUCUUGAGAUAUACAAGAUGGACUGCUCCAGAAGACUCACCCAAAAUCAGAAUAUAAGAACCUUGCCCUUAGAAGGAUACUUUGGAGCACCUUCCUGCUAAAUGGACCUAUGUCUCUGUGAUCCUCAAGGCAGAACUGCCUUCAUGUGAUUUAUUCUCACAUAUGUGUAUGUUAGUGAAUAUGCCUGAAUUGUAUUUUGGGUUCCCUUUUCUUUCCUUUUCUGUCUCUUCACCAUAGCUUGCAAUAAAACCAUGUAUUAAACUUAUUCCUUUGAUUUU